RNAcentral lists this transfer RNA (74 nucleotides) under Loxodonta africana (African savanna elephant). It matches the Rfam family "tRNA". From Rfam's summary of the family: Transfer RNA (tRNA) molecules are approximately 80 nucleotides in length. Their secondary structure includes four short double-helical elements and three loops (D, anti-codon, and T loops). Further hydrogen bonds mediate the characteristic L-shaped molecular structure. tRNAs have two regions of fundamental functional importance: the anti-codon, which is responsible for specific mRNA codon recognition, and the 3' end, to which the tRNAs corresponding amino acid is attached (by aminoacyl-tRNA synthetases). tRNAs cope with the degeneracy of the genetic code in two manners: having more than one tRNA (with a specific anti-codon) for a particular amino acid; and 'wobble' base-pairing, i.e. permitting non-standard base-pairing at the 3rd anti-codon position. The record is from Rfam by way of RNAcentral. Lineage: Eukaryota; Metazoa; Chordata; Mammalia; Proboscidea; Elephantidae.
AUCUGAGUGGUGCAAAUGGUUAACACUCUCGGCUGCUAACUGAAAAGUUGGAGGUUCAAGUCCACCCAGAGAUG